UCGAUUCCGGAGAGGGAGCCUGAGAAACGGCUACCACAUCUACGGAAGGCAGCAGGCGCGAAAAUUGCCCAAUCCUGAUUCAGGGAGGCAGUGACAAGAAAUAACAACUCUCAACUUUGUUGAGAAGUGUAAUGAGGAUAAUUUACAAACCUUACCGAAAGCAAUUGGAGGGCAAGUCUGGUGCCAGCAGCCGCGGUAAUUCCAGCUCCAAAAGCGUAUAUUAAAGUUGUUGCAGUUAAAAAGCUCGUAGUUGAAGUUCUGGCUGUAUUGGGCCUUUGCACUAGAUGCGAAGGAACCAGCAGUCAUCCGCUUGCAAAUACAUGUCCUUCCUUAACCGGUAGGCUGUAUAAGUAAGCACUUUACCUUGAGAAAAACAGAGUGUUCCAGGCAGGUUUGUCCGGAAUGCGUUAGCAUGGAAUAAUAGAAUAUGACUGAAGUCGAUUUAUUGGUUUAAGGCUUUAGUAAUGAUUAAUAGGAACAAUCGGG
Molecule: ribosomal RNA, 486 nt
Filed under: uncultured eukaryote
Lineage: Eukaryota
Description: SSU rRNA
Rfam family: Eukaryotic small subunit ribosomal RNA
Source: RNAcentral